Molecule: ribosomal RNA, 465 nt
Filed under: uncultured Streptococcus sp.
Lineage: Bacteria; Bacillati; Bacillota; Bacilli; Lactobacillales; Streptococcaceae
Description: bacterial SSU rRNA
Rfam family: Bacterial small subunit ribosomal RNA
Source: RNAcentral
CCUACGGGAGGCAGCAGUAGGGAAUCUUCGGCAAUGGGGGCAACCCUGACCGAGCAACGCCGCGUGAGUGAAGAAGGUUUUCGGAUCGUAAAGCUCUGUUGUAAGAGAAGAACGGGUGUGAGAGUGGAAAGUUCACACUGUGACGGUAUCUUACCAGAAAGGGACGGCUAACUACGUGCCAGCAGCCGCGGUAAUCCGUAGGUCCCGAGCGUUGUCCGGAUUUAGUGGGCGUAAAGCGAGCGCAGGCGGUUUGAUAAGUCUGAAGUAAAAGGCUGUGGCUCAACCAUAGUUCGCUUUGGAAACUGUCAAACUUGAGUGCAGAAGGGGAGAGUGGAAUUCCAUGUGUAGCGGUGAAAUGCGUAGAUAUAUGGAGGAACACCGGUGGCGAAAGCGGCUCUCUGGUCUGUAACUGACGCUGAGGCUCGAAAGCGUGGGGAGCGAACAGGAUUAGAUACCCCUGUAGUC